This 253-nucleotide ribosomal RNA is filed under the name uncultured bacterium. RNAcentral describes it as "partial 16S ribosomal RNA". It matches the Rfam family "Bacterial small subunit ribosomal RNA", at positions 524 to 776 of the family's 1533-position model. The record is from RNAcentral. RNAcentral also lists the same sequence under 1 other name.
UACGGAGGGUGCAAGCGUUAUCCGGAUUCACUGGGUUUAAAGGGUGCGUAGGAGGGCAGGGAAGUCAGUGGUGAAAUCUCCGGGCUUAACUCGGAAACUGCCGUUGAUACUCUCUGUCUUGAAUCCCGUGGAGGUGAGCGGAAUAUGUCAUGUAGCGGUGAAAUGCUUAGAUAUGACAUAGAACACCAAUUGCGAAGGCAGCUCGCUACACGAAGAUUGACUCUGAGGCACGAAAGCGUGGGGAUCAAACAGG